GACGAACGCUGGCGGCGUGCUUAACACAUGCAAGUCGAACGGAAAGGCCCCUUUGGGGGUACUCGAGUGGCGAACGGGGGAGUAACACGUGAGUAACCUGCCCUUGACUUCGGGAUAACUUCAGGAAACUGGGGCUAAUACCGGAUAGGAAUCCUUGCUGCAUGGUGGGGGUUGGAAAGCUUCGGCGGUUUUGGAUGGACUCGCGGCUUAUCAGCUUGUUGGUGGGGUAGUGGCUUACCAAGGCUUUGACGGGUAGCCGGCCUGAGAGGGUGACCGGCCACAUUGGGACUGAGAUACGGCCCAGACUCCUACGGGAGGCAGCAGUGGGGAAUAUUGCACAAUGGGCGGAAGCCUGAUGCAGCAACGCCGCGUGCGGGAUGACGGCCUUCGGGUUGUAAACCGCUUUCAGCAGGGGCGAAGCUUGUGGUGACGGUACCUGCAGAAGAAGCACCGGCUAACUACGUG
Molecule: ribosomal RNA, 465 nt
Filed under: uncultured bacterium
Lineage: Bacteria
Description: partial 16S ribosomal RNA
Rfam family: Bacterial small subunit ribosomal RNA
Source: RNAcentral